CCUUUAUGUGGUUAAUGUGGUUAAUGGCCUCUAGGUUUCUGGGCUUAUGUCCAAGUACCGGCCUCUAUGAGGUCACUUGUUCCUCAAAUGUAGCAUAGUGGGUUGAUAUCAAAGAACGGGCUGCUAUGAGGUCACUAGCUCAGCACAUACAACAUGCUGGGUUGGUAAUGGUCAAAGCACUGACACAGAGUUCCAGCUACAGCACUUCCAGGCUCCGGGCUGAAGCCAAGCGGGACUUUGUCGGGAUACUAGCUCGGUAUCUCCAUCUUCCUAGCAUGAUGUCUGGACACAGGCCUCAGGUGUCGGGCACAGCACCACAACCUUGCUGGGGCCAGUGAACAUCCAGCAAGUUCUAGAGUCUUUGACUGUGAAUGCUUUGGAUAAGCACAAGGACAGCAUUUAUGGAAGACGUCGUACUAUAGAGGUGAAUGCCACAUCAGUUCAAAGACGACCUUGCGAACAGACAGUACUGAUUCUA
Mauremys reevesii (Reeves's turtle) is the source of this 478-nucleotide long non-coding RNA. RefSeq lists it as uncharacterized. The record is from RefSeq and is a predicted model, not a curated record. NCBI's taxonomy places the organism in Eukaryota, Metazoa, Chordata, Testudines, Geoemydidae. The transcript has 2 exons.